GUAAAAUUUAUGUAUAAAGGUAAUAGACUUGAUUUGCUACACAUAUGUAUAUUUUGAAAAUAAUUGGAUAAUUUGAAAAAGAAAUAUUGGCAUUAAAAAUUCAACAUUUAGAUUGGAAUAAGAAUCCAGCCAACACCUCAGUGGAUUUUAGGAUUUUUCUUCUAUUUGAUAAGUAUAAUUAUUUUUAAAUUUGUUGUACUAUUUUUUAACUAAGAGGUUGAGAGGUGUGUAAAUUUUCAAGUAGGAUCAAUGAUUUUAUCAAUAGAUAUUAGGAUUCUAAUCUGCCUUAGGAUUUGAUCUAGGAUUUAAGAUUUGUUUAGGAUUUGAUUUAAGGUUUAGGAUUUAUCUAAAAUUUGGUUUAGGAUUUAGGAUUUUUUUAGGAUUUGGUUUAAGGAUUGAUUUAGGAUUUAGGAUUUAUUUAGGAUUUGAUUCAGGAUUUAGGAUUUUUUUAAGGUUUAUGAUUUGGCCUAAGGUUUGAUUGAAAUUCAUUAGGAUUUCAAUU
This 502-nucleotide long non-coding RNA is filed under the name Physcomitrium patens. RNAcentral describes it as "long non-coding RNA (PPAT_LNC002667)". The record is from RNAcentral. Lineage: Eukaryota; Viridiplantae; Streptophyta; Bryopsida; Funariales; Funariaceae.